CUUAAAGAGUAUCCUUUUAAAAAAGGCUUUAUGAAGAAAGCAUUUUAAGCUUUUCCAGUGAUUUAAGAUGAUACCGGGGAAGGUUUUCCGGUUUAUCCCGGAGGGCUUGUAGCUCAGUUGGUUA
RNAcentral lists this unclassified non-coding RNA (124 nucleotides) under uncultured Bartonella sp. Its description in RNAcentral is "partial 16S-23S ribosomal RNA intergenic spacer". Lineage: Bacteria; Pseudomonadati; Pseudomonadota; Alphaproteobacteria; Hyphomicrobiales; Bartonellaceae. The record is from RNAcentral.